AAGUCGUAACAAGGUUUCCGUAGGUGAACCUGCGGAAGGAUCAUUAACACAAUUUUACUGUGAUAAAUCCGUUGAAUUCUCGAAUUCAAUGGUAUCCACCCCAUUAUUGACGAACUUUUCUAGAUGUUACAACAUAGAGCUAGUCUUUAUGUUUUUAACAUUCUAAACCUUUUUCUAUAUCCACACAAAUUUAAACCCCUUUUACAACAUGUAUUAGACUGAAAUGAAAAUUUUCUAUCAAAAAAUUGAUAAAAACAACUUUUAACAACGGAUAUCUUGGCUCUC
This 285-nucleotide unclassified non-coding RNA is filed under the name fungal sp. RNAcentral describes it as "partial internal transcribed spacer region". The stretch from base 1 to 46 matches the Rfam family "Eukaryotic small subunit ribosomal RNA", at positions 1786 to 1831 of the family's 1831-position model. Lineage: Eukaryota; Fungi. The record is from RNAcentral.